Molecule: ribosomal RNA, 253 nt
Filed under: uncultured bacterium
Lineage: Bacteria
Description: partial 16S ribosomal RNA
Rfam family: Bacterial small subunit ribosomal RNA
Source: RNAcentral
UACGAAGGGGGCUAGCGUUGCUCGGAAUCACUGGGCGUAAAGGGCGCGUAGGCGGCCUGAUAAGUCGGGGGUGAAAGCCUGUGGCUCAACCACAGAAUUGCCUUCGAUACUGUUAGGCUUGAGACCGGAAGAGGUAAGUGGAACUGCGAGUGUAGAGGUGAAAUUCGUAGAUAUUCGCAAGAACACCAGUGGCGAAGGCGGCUUACUGGUCCGGAUCUGACGCUGAGGCGCGAAAGCUAGGGUAGCAAACGGG